CGACAUGUACAGCACUCUUCCCCAGAUCUGAGUUUCACCCGUACAAGAGUUUGAUUCCUGGCUCAGAUUGAACGCUGGCGGCAGGCUUAACACAUGCAAGUCGAAGCGGGGUGAUGGUGCUUGCACUAUCACUUAGCGGCGGACGGGUGAGUAAUGCUUAGGAAUCUGCCUAUUAGUGGGGGACAACAUCUCGAAAGGGAUGCUAAUACCGCAUACGUCCUACGGGAGAAAGCAGGGGAUCACUUGUGACCUUGCGCUAAUAGAUGAGCCUAAGUCGGAUUAGCUAGUUGGUGGGGUAAAGGCCUACCAAGGCGACGAUCUGUAGCGGGUCUGAGAGGAUGAUCCGCCACACUGGGACUGAGACACGGCCCAGACUCCUACGGGAGGCAGCAGUGGGGAAUAUUGGACAAUGGGGGGAACCCUGAUCCAGCCAUGCCGCGUGUGUGAAGAAGGCCUUAUGGUUGUAAAGCACUUUAAGCGAGGAGGAGGCUCUUUUGGUUAAUACCCAAGAUGAGUGGACGUUACUCGCAGAAUAAGCACCGGCUAACUCUGUGCCAGCAGCCGCGGUAAUACAGAGGGUGCAAGCGUUAAUCGGAUUUACUGGGCGUAAAGCGCGCGUAGGCGGCCAAUUAAGUCAAAUGUGAAAUCCCCGAGCUUAACUUGGGAAUUGCAUUCGAUACUGGUUGGCUAGAGUGUGGGAGAGGAUGGUAGAAUUCCAGGUGUAGCGGUGAAAUGCGUAGAGAUCUGGAGGAAUACCGAUGGCGAAGGCAGCCAUCUGGCCUAACACUGACGCUGAGGUGCGAAAGCAUGGGGAGCAAACAGGAUUAGAUACCCUGGUAGUCCAUGCCGUAAACGAUGUCUACUAGCCGUUGGGGCCUUUGAGGCUUUAGUGGCGCAGCUAACGCGAUAAGUAGACCGCCUGGAGACGCCA
RNAcentral lists this ribosomal RNA (931 nucleotides) under Acinetobacter sp. RNAcentral's name for it is "bacterial SSU rRNA". It matches the Rfam family "Bacterial small subunit ribosomal RNA", at positions 1 to 884 of the family's 1533-position model. Lineage: Bacteria; Pseudomonadati; Pseudomonadota; Gammaproteobacteria; Moraxellales; Moraxellaceae. The record is from RNAcentral.